AAUCCAUAGGUUAAUGAGGCGAACCGGGGGAACUGAAACAUCUAAGUACCCCGAGGAAAAGAAAUCAACCGAGAUUCCCCCAGUAGCGGCGAGCGAACGGGGAGGAGCCCAGAGCCUGAAUCAGCAUGUGUGUUAGUGGAAGCGUCUGGAAAGGCGCGCGAUACAGGGUGACAGCCCCGUACACAAAAGCGCAUGUGCUGUGAGCUCGAUGAGUAGGGCGGGACACGUGGUAUCCUGUCUGAAUAUGGGGGGACCAUCCUCCAAGGCUAAAUACUCCUGACUGACCGAUAGUGAACCAGUACCGUGAGGGAAAGGCGAAAAGAACCCCGGCGAGGGGAGUGAAAAAGAACCUGAAACCGUGUACGUACAAGCAGUGGGAGCACAGGUUUACCUGUGUGACUGCGUACCUUUUGUAUAAUGGGUCAGCGACUUAUAUUCUGUAGCAAGGUUAACCGAAUAGGGGAGCCGGAGGGAAACCGAGUCUUAAUUGGGCGUUAAGUUGCAGGGUAUAGACCCGAAACCCGGUGAUCUAGCCAUGGGCAGGUUGAAGGUUGGGUAACACUAACUGGAGGACCGAACCGACUAAUGUUGAAAAAUUAGCGGAUGACCUGUGGCUGGGGGUGAAAGGCCAAUCAAACCGGGAGAUAGCUGGUUCUCCCCGAAAGCUAUUUAGGUAGCGCCUCGUGAAUUCAUCUCCGGGGGUAGAGCACUGUUUCGGCUAGGGGGCCAUCCCGGCUUACCAACCCGAUGCAAACUGCGAAUACCGGAGAAUGUUAUCACGGGAGACACACGGCGGGUGCUAACGUCCGUCGUGAAGAGGGAAACAACCCAGACCGCCAGCUAAGGUCCCAAAGUCAUGGUUAAGUGGGAAACGAUGUGGGAAGGCCCAGACAGCCAGGAUGUUGGCUUAGAAGCAGCCAUCAUUUAAAGAAAGCGUAAUAGCUCACUGGUCGAGUCGGCCUGCGCGGAAGAUGUAACGGGGCUAAACCAUGCACCGAAGCUGCGGCAGCGACACUGUGUGUUGUUGGGUAGGGGAGCGUUCUGUAAGCCUG
This 1052-nucleotide ribosomal RNA is filed under the name Salmonella enterica subsp. enterica serovar Newport. Its description in RNAcentral is "partial 23S ribosomal RNA". It matches the Rfam family "Bacterial large subunit ribosomal RNA", at positions 161 to 1251 of the family's 2925-position model. Lineage: Bacteria; Pseudomonadati; Pseudomonadota; Gammaproteobacteria; Enterobacterales; Enterobacteriaceae. The record is from RNAcentral.